Molecule: ribosomal RNA, 253 nt
Filed under: uncultured bacterium
Lineage: Bacteria
Description: partial 16S ribosomal RNA
Rfam family: Bacterial small subunit ribosomal RNA
Source: RNAcentral
UACGGAGGGUGCAAGCGUUAUCCGGAUUCACUGGGUUUAAAGGGAGCGUAGGUGGGAUGGUAAGUCAGUGGUGAAAUCUCCGGGCUUAACUCGGAAACUGCCGUUGAUACUAUCAUUCUUGAAUAUUGUGGAGGUAAGCGGAAUAUGUCAUGUAGCGGUGAAAUGCUUAGAUAUGACGUAGAACACCGAUAGCGAAGGCAGCUUGCUACACAAUUAUUGACACUGAGGCUCGAAAGCGUGGGGAUCAAACAGG